GUGGCGAACGGGUGAGUAACACGUAACCAACCUGCCCUCAAGUGGGAGAAAACCCAGGGAAACUUGGGCUAAUCUUCCAUAACGUGAUCUCGACGCAUGUCGGGAUCAUUAAAGAUUCAUCGCUUGGGGAGGGGGUUGCGUCUGAUUAGCUAGUUGGCGGGGUAACAGCCCACCAAGGCUUCGAUCAGUAGCUGGUCUGAGAGGAUGAUCAGCCACACUGGGACUGAGAUACGGCCCAGACUCCUACGGGAGGCAGCAGUGAGGAAUAUUGCGCAAUGGACGAAAGCCUGACGCAGCAACGCCGCGUGUAGGACGAAAUCCUUCGGGAUGUAAACUACUGUUAGAGGAGAAGAAACCCCUGUUACGCAGGGAGUGACGGUAUCCUCAGAGAAAGCCCCGGCUAACUCUGUGCCAGCAGCCGCGGUAAUACAGGGGGGGCGAGCGUUGUCCGGAAUUACUGGGUGUAAAGGGUGCGUAGGCGGGUUGGCAAGUCCGUGGUGAAAUCCUGCAGCUUAACUGCAGACGGUCCAUGGAUACUGCUGAUCUUGAGUGCGAGAGAGAAGAGUGGAAUUCCCAGUGUAGCGGUGAAAUGCGUAGAGAUUGGGAAGAACACCAGUAGCGAAGGCGGCUCUUUGGCUCGUUACUGACGCUGAGGCACGAAAGCGUGGGGAGCAAACAGGAUUAGAUACCCUGGUAGUCCACGCCCUAAACGAUGAGGACUAGGUGUCGGGUCGCAAGACUCGGUGCCGCAGCUAACGCAUUAAGUCCUCCACCUGGGGAAUACGGCCGCAAGGUUGAAACUCAAAGGAAUUGACGGGGGCCCGCACAAGCAGUGGAGCAUGUGGUUUAAUUCGACGCAACGCGAAGAACCUUACCUGGGCUCGAAAUGUUAGUGCCAUCCCAUGAAAGUGGGCUUCUCGCAAGAGACGCUAAUAUAGGUGCUGCAUGGCUGUCGUCAGCUCGUGUCGUG
Molecule: ribosomal RNA, 970 nt
Filed under: uncultured bacterium
Lineage: Bacteria
Description: bacterial SSU rRNA
Rfam family: Bacterial small subunit ribosomal RNA
Source: RNAcentral